AUUGAACGCUGGCGGCAGGCCUAACACAUGCAAGUCGAGCGGAUGAAGGGAGCUUGCUCCUGGAUUCAGCGGCGGACGGGUGAGUAAUGCCUAGGAAUCUGCCUGGUAGUGGGGGAUAACGUCCGGAAACGGGCGCUAAUACCGCAUACGUCCUGAGGGAGAAAGUGGGGGAUCUUCGGACCUCACGCUAUCAGAUGAGCCGAGGUCGGAUUAGCUAGUUGGGGGGGUAAAGGCCUACCAAGGCGACGAUCCGUAACUGGUCGGAGAGGAUGAUCAGCCACAGUGGAACUGAGACAAGGUACAGAAGACUAAGGGAGGAAGCAGGGGGGAAUAGUGGACAAUGGGAGAAAGCCUGACCCAGCCAUACUGAGGGGGUGAAGAAGGUCUUCGAGUUGUAAAGGUGUUUGGUGGGGAAAGAAAAGCAGCAGGUUAAUACCUCGCUGGUCUGACGGUACCCAAAGAAUAAGCACCGGCUAACUUCGUG
RNAcentral lists this ribosomal RNA (484 nucleotides) under uncultured bacterium. RNAcentral's name for it is "partial 16S ribosomal RNA". It matches the Rfam family "Bacterial small subunit ribosomal RNA", at positions 29 to 507 of the family's 1533-position model. The record is from RNAcentral.